RNAcentral lists this ribosomal RNA (447 nucleotides) under Salmonella enterica. Its description in RNAcentral is "partial 23S ribosomal RNA". It matches the Rfam family "Bacterial large subunit ribosomal RNA", at positions 200 to 688 of the family's 2925-position model. Lineage: Bacteria; Pseudomonadati; Pseudomonadota; Gammaproteobacteria; Enterobacterales; Enterobacteriaceae. The record is from RNAcentral.
AUCUAAGUACCCCGAGGAAAAGAAAUCAACCGAGAUUCCCCCAGUAGCGGCGAGCGAACGGGGAGGAGCCCAGAGCCUGAAUCAGCAUGUGUGUUAGUGGAAGCGUCUGGAAAGGCGCGCGAUACAGGGUGACAGCCCCGUACACAAAAGCGCAUGUGUUGUGAGCUCGAUGAGUAGGGCGGGACACGUGGUAUCCUGUCUGAAUAUGGGGGGACCAUCCUCCAAGGCUAAAUACUCCUGACUGACCGAUAGUGAACCAGUACCGUGAGGGAAAGGCGAAAAGAACCCCGGCGAGGGGAGUGAAAAAGAACCUGAAACCGUGUACGUACAAGCAGUGGGAGCACCCUUUGGGGUGUGACUGCGUACCUUUUGUAUAAUGGGUCAGCGACUUAUAUUCUGUAGCAAGGUUAACCGAAUAGGGGAGCCGGAGGGAAACCGAGUCUUAAU